RNAcentral lists this long non-coding RNA (2784 nucleotides) under Equus asinus (donkey). RNAcentral's name for it is "lncRNA (ENSEASG00005035324.1)". The record is from RNAcentral. Lineage: Eukaryota; Metazoa; Chordata; Mammalia; Perissodactyla; Equidae.
CUUUAUUUGAAUGAUCUGAUGAGCUAACUCUAGGGUUCAAUGUUUUUAAAAAAAGCAACACUUUGCCAGUGAAGUAUACCAGUGAGGUCCCUGUGCCUUUAAGACUCAGAAUUAUUUGGGCUAAAGCCAGAUACCAUCUGCAUUUCACUGUUUCAGUCCCGGGAGACGCUCCGCGGAUACAAUCUUUCUACAGAGCGAAGUCUGAAUGGGGGCCGGAGGGAGAACGAGGAUGGACAGGACGUCCCAGAAAGCCAUCGGCGGCAGGGCCAUGCCUCGCACCUGACCUGCACAGCAGGUGGCCCAGAGCUCAAGUCAAGCAGCCGCCAGUCCCGAGUCCCGCCCUUUGAGAGGGCGCAGGCCCGGACAACGCUGGCUCAAAUACGUGAUAAACACCGCUCGUCGACUAUACACUCAACAACCAAAAUAAGUCUCUGUAUGGACUGAAAUAGAAAUGCAAGUAUAUUGAGUGCUGAAAAUAAAGCAAGAUGUUUCUGUUGGAGUGGAUCAAUGGAAGGAAGAACUCUCCUUUAAAAGAUCUCUUGAACAUAGAUGGAGGAAUGAUGAGUCGUGUUUAAUUAUUUAAGUAUGGAAUUCACCCAAAAGGGCACUUGAUGCUUCUGGUUUAUUGGGAGAUACUGGAUGUGAAAGACAGCAAAAUCCCGGUGAGCAUGUGCAGGAAACCCAAAGCUCAGCAACUAACCCUUCUCUGCUUCACGAACCUUAGUGCUGAGUCCAGGUCGCUUCUCCAAUGUCCUCUCACGCUGGCCUUGGUGAUGUUAUAAUAAAGAGAGCAUAGGAUUUUACCAAAUGUAGAGGGCUCCUGCGAUUCAUCUCUUUGACUUCUUCUGAGGCUGCAUGGACCUUUGCUUCCGGACACUUCUAGCGGCUGAGUGAGGUUUCAGAGAGCCAUGAAGGUGUACAGCUGAAAAGGCAUCUUGCAGAAGAACUGGAAAGGCCAGAUGAAGAAAAGUGUGUGGAAAGUAAACAAUGCAGUGAUCGGAGGCGUGUGUGCACUUUCCUUGGACUUUAGAUGGAAGAGGGUCAACAUGCACUUUGUUUCCGUCUGUGUGAUUGACUCGCUCUAUGCCAUGCUUGCUAACUGAGACCUUCCUUCAGCUCUUCAGCUGAGCUGUGAGUGGCUUUGAGGGUUGGGAGGUCUCCCACUGAGGGGUCAGGGGUCAGGUCCUGUAUACUUUUUGAAGAGCAGGGGCAUUUGAGCAAAACAAAACUGGAGUUAAUCCCUGCUUUCCUAUUAGAAAAGUUGUGUUCUUUCUCUAUGCCUGUUUCCCCAUCUGUUAAAAAGUGAUAAUGGUAAUACAACUUAGUGAGGCUGUUGUGAAGAAUAAAUAAGAAAUUUGACAUAAAGAGCAAGCUGACAUUUACUAAGUUCUCAAUAAAUGUUGAUAAAUAUCUAAUUGAUCCACUACAACUCACAUAGGCUAGGAGUUUUUGUCUUUGCCUAAACAUUCUCGUGGCUUUUAUGCAAGCUUUUCUUUGUCCUGGUCUCCAAGUGGCAUGCUAACGGCAACUUUUACUGGCUCGCAAGAGCCGAUUAUUAAAUUUUUAGGAAUUUUGAGCUCUGGUUGUUAAAAACUGCCAAUAUUUAAAAAUAGAUGAAAAGAAACAUAUAAUUAAAUAAUUAUAUUUAAAACAAAGUUGAUAAAUACUCAAAACUCAUCACUUCCUAAUUAGUUCACUGGAUUUUACUAUUAUCUAUACUCUUGAGGUUAUUUAUGUCUAUUUUUAUCUGUGUGGUGAAAACAUGUGCCUCGCUUCCAAACUUGUGUUCAGUGACAUCCCUCUUGUGGCUUGAAAAGAGCCAAGUGGCUUGAAAACAGACAUCCCUCUAAGUGGCUUUUGUAGACCAUUGCUCCACAGAAAUACGCGAAUACUAAAUUCAAGAUUUUUCCCAAAGAGCCAAUUAUUAAACACUUAUCAUAAUUUCGUGUUUAUUAAUUCUACACAUGGAAAAAUCGGAUUAAUUUUAUGUGAGAAUGUACAAAAAUUUAUUCUGAUAAGCUUUUUAUGCUGUGCAGGAGCCAACUCUAAAUGAGUCAAAUAAACUACAUAUCCUAGUGUAAUUCCUUCAUGAAUUAAAAAAGUGAAAACAACAAAAUUUCCAUUUUUAGUGAAAAUGAAAUUUCUGUAAAACAUGCCACUUAAUAAACUUCUAAAUGAAUGUGCAUUCAUCAAACAUUUUGAUUUUAACUGGCUAUUUUUGAAGUAUCUGAAAGUUUACCUAUUCUUGAUUUGGGGAAAUUACUGAAAAUCAUAAAAUUAUUAUUUGUCUCCAAGUAUGUAGAGAUAUAGUUUUAAAUAAAAAUAUUAAUAUGUAACUGUGCAUCAAUGCUGCUUUGUUUUUAAAAUAAAAAGUCAUUCAACCCGGUGCCUGGCACAGAUUGGAAAUGAAGUGAAAUAGAGGAAAGAGCAUGAGAUUUACAUGUGGAAGAUUUGGGUUCAAGUCCUGCUCAUCGUUUGUGUGCUGUGACCUCCAGGCAGCAGUCAGCUAACCAUCGGUAACGUUAGUGUGUCAUGGGUAUGUUAACAUCCAUGGGGUGUUUGGCAUUCGGUAUGUUUGGCAUAUAUGAGGGAGUUUGGCAUACAGUAGAUUUUCCCAUACAUGCUAAUCUACUGUGAUGUCGUUAAUAUUUAUGGAUUAAAUAAAUCGAGAUCAACUGAUUACUUAAAAGCCUCAGUAUAUGCAAGGGAAGAAAUUCAGAAGACCACACUUUUUGGGGAGCAAUUCAUGUCCUAAUUUUGUCUGAAUAAAAACAUGUGUCCCAG